RNAcentral lists this ribosomal RNA (472 nucleotides) under uncultured bacterium. Its description in RNAcentral is "partial 16S ribosomal RNA". It matches the Rfam family "Bacterial small subunit ribosomal RNA", at positions 28 to 507 of the family's 1533-position model. The record is from RNAcentral.
GACGAACGCUGGCGGCGUGCUUAACACAUGCAAGUCGAACGCUGAAGCUUGGUGCUUGCACUGGGUGGAUGAGUGGCGAACGGGUGAGUAAUACGUGAGUAACCUGCCCUUGACUCUGGGAUAAGCCUGGGAAACUGGGUCUAAUACUGGAUACGACAUGUCACCGCAUGGUGGUGUGUGGAAAGGGUUUUACUGGUUUUGGAUGGGCUCACGGCCUAUCAGCUUGUUGGUGGGGUAAUGGCUCACCAAGGCGACGACGGGUAGCCGGCCUGAGAGGGUGACCGGCCACACUGGGACUGAGACACGGCCCAGACUCCUACGGGAGGCAGCAGUGGGGAAUAUUGCACAAUGGGCGGAAGCCUGAUGCAGCGACGCCGCGUGAGGGAUGACGGCCUUCGGGUUGUAAACCUCUUUCAGCACGGAAGAAGCGAAAGUGACGGUUCGUGCAGAAGAAGCGCCGGCUAACUACGUG